Molecule: ribosomal RNA, 447 nt
Filed under: uncultured bacterium
Lineage: Bacteria
Description: bacterial SSU rRNA
Rfam family: Bacterial small subunit ribosomal RNA
Source: RNAcentral
AUUGAACGCUGGCGGCAUGGCUAAAACAUGCAAGUCGAGCGCGAAAGUGGAGCAAUCCAUGAGUAGAGCGGCGAAAGGGUGAGUAAUAGGUUUCUACGUGCCUUGAGGUCGAGGAUAGCCAGGGGAAACUCUGGGUAAUACUCGAUGUGAUCGAGAGAUCAAAGGCUUGCCGCCUCAAGAGCGGGGAACCUCCUAUCAGGUAGUUGGUGAGGUAACGGCUCACCAAGCCUUUGACGGGUAGCGGGUGUGAGAGCAUGGCCCGCCACAUCGAAACUGAGACACUGUUCGGACUCCUACGGGAGGCUGCAGUAACGAAUCUUCCGCAAUGCGCGAAAGCGUGACGGAGCAAUGCCGCGUGCAGGAUGAAGCCCCUGGGGUAGUAAACUGCUGUCAGGGAUUAGGAAGCAAGUGACCAAUCCCAAAGGAAGAGACGACUAACUCUGUGCC